This 497-nucleotide ribosomal RNA is filed under the name uncultured bacterium. Its description in RNAcentral is "partial 16S ribosomal RNA". It matches the Rfam family "Bacterial small subunit ribosomal RNA", at positions 28 to 507 of the family's 1533-position model. The record is from RNAcentral.
GAUGAACGCUGGCGACGUGCCUAAUACAUGCAAGUAGAACGCUGAAGCUUGGUGCUUGCACCGAGCGGAUGAGUUGCGAACGGGUGAGUAACGCGUAGGUAACCUGCCUCUUAGCGGGGGAUAACUAUUGGAAACGAUAGCUAAUACCGCAUAAAAGUCGAUAUCGCAUGAUAUUGAUUUGAAAGGUGCAAUUGCAUCACUAAGAGAUGGACCUGCGUUGUAUUAGCUAGUUGGUGAGGUAACGGCUAACCAAGGCGACGAUACAUAGCCGACCUGAGAGGGGGAUCGACCACACUUGGACUGAGACACGGCCCAGACUCCUACGGGAGGCAGCAGUAGGGAAUCUUCGGCAAUGGGGGCAACCCUGACCGAGCAACGCCGCGUGAGUGAAGAAGGUUGUCGGAUCGUGAAGCUCUGUUGGAAGAGAAGAACGAGUGUGAGAGUGGAAAGUGCACACUGUGACGGUAACUGACCAGAAAGGGACGGCUAACUACGUG